Molecule: non-coding RNA, 57 nt
Organism: Salmo salar (Atlantic salmon)
Lineage: Eukaryota; Metazoa; Chordata; Actinopteri; Salmoniformes; Salmonidae
Source: Rfam
AGCUCAGUUGGUAGAGCAUGGUGUUUGCAACGCCAGGGUUGUGGGUUCGAUUCCCAU